Molecule: ribosomal RNA, 484 nt
Filed under: uncultured bacterium
Lineage: Bacteria
Description: partial 16S ribosomal RNA
Rfam family: Bacterial small subunit ribosomal RNA
Source: RNAcentral
AUUGAACGCUGGCGGCAUGCUUUACACAUGCAAGUCGAACGGCAGCGCGGGCUUCGGCCUGGCGGCGAGUGGCGAACGGGUGGGUCAUGCAUCGUAACGUGCCCAGUAGUGGGGGAUAGCCCGGCGAAAGCCGGAUUAAUACCGCAUACGACCUGAGGGUGAAAGCGGGGGAGCGCAAGGCCUCGCGCUAUUGGAGCGGCCGAUGUCGGAUUAGCUAGUUGGUGGGGUAAAGGCUUAGCAAGGCGACGAUCCGUAGCUGGUCUGAGAGGACGACCAGCCACACUGGGACUGAGACACGGCCCAGACUCCUACGGGAGGCAGCAGUGGGGAAUUUUGGACAAUGGGGGCAACCCUGAUCCAGCCAUGCCGCGUGAGGGAAGAAGGACUUCGGGUUGUAAACCGCUUUUGUUCGGGAAGAAAUCCUGUGGGCUAAUACCCCGGGGUGAUGACGGUACCGGAAGAAUAAGCACCGGCUAACUACGUG